RNAcentral lists this ribosomal RNA (423 nucleotides) under uncultured bacterium. Its description in RNAcentral is "bacterial SSU rRNA". It matches the Rfam family "Bacterial small subunit ribosomal RNA", at positions 103 to 518 of the family's 1533-position model. The record is from RNAcentral.
CGGGUGCGUAACGCGUAUGCAACCUGCCCCCAGUCAGGGGGAAUAGACCCGGCCGAAAGGCGGAUUAACUGACCCCAUAGGCCCAGGGCGCCGCAUGGCGCUAUGGGUAAAGCUCCGGCGGAUGGGGAUGGGCAUGCGUGCCAUUAGCUAGUUGGGGCGGUAACGGCGCACCAAGGCGACGAUGGCUAGGGGGUCUGAGAGGAUGGUCCCCCACACUGGUACUGAGACACGGACCAGACUCCUACGGGAGGCAGCAGUGAGGAAUAUUGGUCAAUGGGCGGAAGCCUGAACCAGCCAUGCCGCGUGCAGGAUGACGGCCCUACGGGUUGUAAACUGCUUUUCCCCGGGAAGAAUAAGCCCCUCGUGAGGGGUGAUGCCGGUACCGGGGGAAUAAGGAUCGGCUAACUCCGUGCCAGCAGCGGC